CUCUACUUCUCUCUCUACCUCUGCAGCCACGGGGAGUAGUCGACGGUGAGGUACUCCCGAUACGGGCGACAGUACACCUGCGCGCCGCCGCCGCCCGCAGUGACGACGAACCCGAACGCGAUGAGGCCGAGGAGGAAGACGAUGAGGAGCAUCACGACGGCGAGGUACAGCCACAGCGCCUAGGCCACGUGGAAGCAGGCGCCGACGAAGCCGGUGAGGGAGACGAGCAGCACGGCGAAGCCGACGGCGAGGAGUGGUGCUUGAAGGAUGGAGGAGCACGUGGCCGUGGCCGAGCCCUUGGCCAGCCAGAGGCCCGCCCUGAUGACCGGGAUCGAGGCCAGCAGCGUCGCCAGACUCAGG
This 360-nucleotide unclassified non-coding RNA is filed under the name Zea mays. RNAcentral describes it as "misc RNA Zm00001eb008230". Lineage: Eukaryota; Viridiplantae; Streptophyta; Magnoliopsida; Poales; Poaceae. The record is from RNAcentral.